AAACCAAGAAAUUUAGUCAUUUGUUCAUGGUAAAAAGACAGUUAUACAAAAUAAUAUAAUCAUUAGAUCUUCAGUAAAGGAGUAAAAUCUAAAUACUGAAAGCUAUUCUAGGCGUGAUAUACUUGAGAUGUUGAAUCUGUGAUAGCUUUAAGGGAAACUGGGAUUGGAUACCCCAUUAUUUUUAGUCGUAAAUUUAGUUAAUACUUACCAGAGUACUACGAAUAAAAAAUUUAAAACUCAAAGGGCUUGGCGGUGUUUUAGACCUCUCAGGGGAACCUGUCUCGUAAUCGACAAUCCACGUUAAACCUAACCCUUUAUGGUAAUACAGCCUGUAUACCGUCGUCGUCAGGUAACUUCUUAAAAUAUAGUAGUUAGCUUGAGAAUUUCAUUAAUUAGGACGUCAGAUCAAGGUGCAGCUAAUAAAAGGGUGAGGAUGGGUUACAAUUACAUAUUUGUAAUUACAGAAAACACUUGAAAUUGAGUGUCUAAAGGAGGACUUGAAAGUAAUCUUAAUUAUCUAAAUAAAAUGAAUUGGGCUCUGAAACGUG
This 548-nucleotide ribosomal RNA is filed under the name Conus spectrum. Its description in RNAcentral is "partial 12S ribosomal RNA". Lineage: Eukaryota; Metazoa; Mollusca; Gastropoda; Neogastropoda; Conidae. The record is from RNAcentral.